UGCAGUCGAACGAGACCUUCGGGUCUAGUGGCGCACGGGUGCGUAACGCGUGGGAACCUGCCUUUAGGUUCGGAAUAACUCAGAGAAAUUUGAGCUAAUACCGGAUAAUGUCUUCGGACCAAAGAUUUAUCGCCUUUAGAUGGGCCCGCGUUGGAUUAGCUAGUUGGUGGGGUAAAGGCCUACCAAGGCGACGAUCCAUAGCUGGUCUGAGAGGAUGAUCAGCCACACUGGGACUGAGACACGGCCCAGACUCCUACGGGAGGCAGCAGUGGGGAAUAUUGGACAAUGGGCGAAAGCCUGAUCCAGCAAUGCCGCGUGAGUGAUGAAGGCCUUAGGGUUGUAAAGCUCUUUUACCAGGGAUGAUAAUGACAGUACCUGGAGAAUAAGCUCCGGCUAACUCCGUGCCAGCAGCCGCGGUAAUACGGAGGGAGCUAGCGUUGUUCGGAAUUACUGGGCGUAAAGCGCACGUAGGCGGCUUUUUAAGUCAGGGGUGAAAUCCCGGGGCUCAACCCCGGAACUGCCCUUGAAACUGGGAAGCUAGAAUCUUGGAGAGGCGAGUGGAAUUCCGAGUGUAGAGGUGAAAUUCGUAGAUAUUCGGAAGAACACC
This 607-nucleotide ribosomal RNA is filed under the name bacterium SL3.18. RNAcentral's name for it is "bacterial SSU rRNA". It matches the Rfam family "Bacterial small subunit ribosomal RNA", at positions 56 to 710 of the family's 1533-position model. The record is from RNAcentral.